AACGAACGCUGGCGGCAUGCCUAACACAUGCAAGUCGAACGAAACCUUCGGGUCUAUUUGCGCACGUGUGCGUACCACGUGGGAACCUGCCCGUAGGUUCCGAAUAACUCCCCGAAAGGGGUGCUAAGACCGGUUAAUGUCUUCGGACCAAGGAUUUAUCGCCGUUGGAUGGGGGCGCGUUGGAUUCGCUGGUUGGUAGGGUAAAAGCCUACCAAGGCGUCGAUCCAGAGCUGGUCGGAUAGGAUGCCAAGCCACACUUGAAAUGAGACCCGGCCUAGACCCGUACGGAAGGGAGCAGUGGGGAAUACUGGACACGGGGCGAAAGUCUGACAAAGCCACGCCGGGUGAGUGAUGAAGGGGUUAGGGUUGUAAAGCCCUUUUAGCCGGGACGAUAAUGACGGUAACGGGAGAAUAAGCACCGGCUAACUCCGUG
RNAcentral lists this ribosomal RNA (433 nucleotides) under uncultured bacterium. Its description in RNAcentral is "partial 16S ribosomal RNA". It matches the Rfam family "Bacterial small subunit ribosomal RNA", at positions 29 to 507 of the family's 1533-position model. The record is from RNAcentral.